Molecule: transfer RNA, 77 nt
Filed under: Magnetococcales bacterium
Lineage: Bacteria; Pseudomonadati; Pseudomonadota; Magnetococcia; Magnetococcales
Description: tRNA-Val
Rfam family: tRNA
About the family: Transfer RNA (tRNA) molecules are approximately 80 nucleotides in length. Their secondary structure includes four short double-helical elements and three loops (D, anti-codon, and T loops).
Source: RNAcentral
GGGCGGAUAGCUCAGUUGGCUAGAGCAUCGGCCUUACAAGCCGAGGGUCACAGGUUCGAGUCCUGUUCCGCCCACCA